GAAGGAGAUUGAAUGCAAAAUGGU
RNAcentral lists this non-coding RNA (24 nucleotides) under Arabidopsis thaliana (thale cress). Lineage: Eukaryota; Viridiplantae; Streptophyta; Magnoliopsida; Brassicales; Brassicaceae. The record is from RNAcentral.